Molecule: long non-coding RNA, 829 nt
Organism: Emys orbicularis (European pond turtle)
Lineage: Eukaryota; Metazoa; Chordata; Testudines; Emydidae
Exons: 3
Source: RefSeq, a predicted model, not a curated record
UUUUUUCCCCUCCUCAGAGGAUGUGGUAUGGCUUCAGCCAAUAAUUUAGAAUCAUCAGAGAGUGACACGGCAUCAAAAGCAACACUAAAUGUACUGAUCCUCUUCUUCGCCUGGGCUAUCAGCUGCAAUUUACAUGGUGCUGUCGGCUUAUUUCCUUGCUUGGUGCUUGAGUAUGACUGAUGAUACAAGUCUCAACACAGAGCUGGGAACAGCAUCAGAUUCCCUUACACCCGGUGACAGAGUUGUCUAAGAAGUCAUGCUGCCACUUUCUGUCACUACUAUGCCUGGACAUCAUGCCCCCUCCCCCAACUGUCUGCAAGGAAUGGACAAUGCACCCUAACAUGACUUCUUCCAGCCCCACUAUCAUGUGGCAAGGCUUCCUUUGGAUUUUGCAAAGGGAAGGUGGAUGGGGGUGGAAGAUAGGACUGAUGAGAAGCUGCUCACAUCUGCUGCUUUUGAGACAUUUUAUCCUUUUUAACUCUCAUUUGUUUACCUUUUUGCUGGAAGGAGAUAUAAAGGCUUAAAUGUUCCGGCUUUUCUCUUAGUCCUCUCCCACCCAGCACAAUAUUAGAAUGAGACCUGUAGAUUUCCUCUGACUUUUAAAUGGAAAAGCCACCAGUGUAAACACUAAACCUCAUCAUGCGUAUAAGCCAGAUGCCAUUGAGUUAAAGAUUUAGAAACCUUAAGUCAGAAUUUUGUUACUGAAUUAUCUGAAUGGCUAGACAUGUCAAUGGGCCAUAGUAACCUGGAAAAGCCAUAUAACAUUGCAAAGCAUGAAAUAUGAAACAGAAAAUUGAUGCAUAAAUAAACUUUUCAGGGCUUGCCUCGA